CGGACGGGUGAGUAAUGUCUGGGAAACUGCCUGAUGGAGGGGGAUAACUACUGGAAACGGUAGCUAAUACCGCAUAACGUCGCAAGACCAAAGAGGGGGACCUUCGGGCCUCUUGCCAUCGGAUGUGCCCAGAUGGGAUUAGCUAGUAGGUGGGUAACGGCUCACCUAGGCGACGAUCCCUAGCUGGUCUGAGAGGAUGACCAGCCACACUGGAACUGAGACACGGUCCAG
This 231-nucleotide ribosomal RNA is filed under the name uncultured bacterium. RNAcentral describes it as "partial 16S ribosomal RNA". It matches the Rfam family "Bacterial small subunit ribosomal RNA", at positions 99 to 334 of the family's 1533-position model. The record is from RNAcentral.